CAGUCGCCACGGUAAUACAGAGGGUGCGAGCGUUAAUCGGAUUUACUGGGCGUAAAGCGUGCGUAGGCGGCUUCUUAAGUCGGAUGUGAAAUCCCUGAGCUUAACUUAGGAAUUGCAUUCGAUACUGGGAAGCUAGAGUAUGGGAGAGGAUGGUAGAAUUCCAGGUGUAGCGGUGAAAUGCGUAGAGAUCUGGAGGAAUACCGAUGGCGAAGGCAGCCAUCUGGCCUAAUACUGACGCUGAGGUACGAAAGCAUGGGGAGCAAACAGGAUUAGAUACCCGAGUAGUCCCUGUCUCUUAUAA
This 301-nucleotide ribosomal RNA is filed under the name uncultured bacterium. Its description in RNAcentral is "partial 16S ribosomal RNA". It matches the Rfam family "Bacterial small subunit ribosomal RNA", at positions 509 to 809 of the family's 1533-position model. The record is from RNAcentral.